Nicotiana tabacum (common tobacco) is the source of this 1229-nucleotide non-coding RNA. The record is from RefSeq and is a predicted model, not a curated record. NCBI's taxonomy places the organism in Eukaryota, Viridiplantae, Streptophyta, Magnoliopsida, Solanales, Solanaceae.
GAGCCUUUUCACUGUACCUCAGCCCCCCAAUGGCCACUUCACUCCCUAGAGCCCUCACUUACGUCUCUCUACUUCGUUCAACACUUAAAAAACCUUCUUUAUCUCCAUUUUUAUCUCAAACCCCUAAAGUAUUCUUCACUAUCAAACCUAAGGUUCCUAAUUUUGCUAGGUUUAUAUCAUCAUCAAUGGCUUCAGAUUCCAAAGAUUCUCCCUCCAACAAUCCAGGCCUUCAUUCCACUCCUGAUGAUGCAACUAAAGGCUACUUUUUGCAACAAACUAUGUUUAGAAUUAAGGACCCCAAAAUCAGUCUUGAAUUCUACUCCAAAGUGCUGGGCAUGUCCUUGCUCAAGAGAUUGGAUUUCCCUGAGAUGAAGUUCAGCUUAUAUUUCAUGGGAUAUGAGGAUACAUCAUCAGCACCCACUGAUCCAGCUGAACGUACGGCUUGGACCUUUGGUCAGAAAGCUACAUUAGAGCUUACACACAACUGGGGUACUGAGAGUGACCCUAAUUUUACAGGUUACCACAAUGGGAAUUCAGAACCACGUGGCUUUGGACACAUAGGUGUCACUGUUGAUGACGUCUACAAGGCUUGCGAGAGAUUUGAACAACUGGGUGUGGAAUUCGUAAAGAAGCCUCUUGAUGGAAAAAUGAAAGGUAUUGCUUUUAUUAAAGAUCCUGAUGGCUAUUGGAUCGAGAUUUUUGACACUAAAAAUAUCAAAGAAGCUGCUGGUGCUGCUUCUUGAUUCAGAUGGUGUUAAAGCAUAUAAGGUAAUCAGGAGCUUGAUGCAAAUACCGACAGGCCAAAGUUUGUGAAAUUGGUCUUUGCUUACCACCUGAUAUUUUUGGAGGUCUGCUCUGGAGAAAUGGUGUUACUCCGUGUCCAUGAGCUCUUCGAGUUUCUAUUACGAGUCUUGAUCAACUCAGCUAUCUGUUGAAGAGAGAGUUCGAGUAAACGACGUUUCCUUUCAAGGUUAGAUGUGUUAGCAAAUGAGACUUGUGCUGUGUUUAGGGAAAAGGCUUUUAUCUGUGGACAACACCUCCCUGAUGUAUCCCAAAUAAUAAGUUGAUAGAACUCCUGUGAUUGCGAAACUAAUUACAGCCGAGGGAACGUGAGGCAAAGAUAACAAUAAACUCUAUCAUGCCGCUGCAUUAUACUAUUACCAUAAUUUUAACAUUUUCUGAAUUUCAUAUUUAUUUAGUUAAUGGGAAAAGAUUAAUUUUUCUGUUUC